RNAcentral lists this ribosomal RNA (406 nucleotides) under uncultured bacterium. RNAcentral describes it as "partial 16S ribosomal RNA". It matches the Rfam family "Bacterial small subunit ribosomal RNA", at positions 29 to 526 of the family's 1533-position model. The record is from RNAcentral.
AUUGAACGCUGGCGGCAGGCCUAACACAUGCAAGUCGAACGAGUGGCGGACGGGUGAGUAAUGUCUGGGAAACUGCCUGAUGGAGGGGGAUAACUACUGGAAACGGUAGCUAAUACCGCAUACCAUCGGAUGUGCCCAGAUGGGAUUAGCUAGUAGGUGGGGUAACGGCUCACCUAGGCGACGAUCACUAGCACGACUGAGAGGAUGACCAGCCACACUGGAACUGAGAGACGGUCCAGACUCCUACGGGAGGCAGCAGGGGGGAAUAUUGCACCAUGGGCGCAAGCCUGAUGCAGCCAUGCAGCGUGUAUGAAGAAGGCCUUCGGGUUGUAAAGUACGUUCAGCGGGGAGGCGUUACCCGCAGAAGAAGCACCGGCUAACUCCGUGCCAGCAGCCGCGGUAAUAC